The sequence is a ribosomal RNA, 764 nucleotides long. It matches the Rfam family "Bacterial large subunit ribosomal RNA", at positions 2181 to 2925 of the family's 2925-position model.
UGGAGCCAUCCUUGAAAUACCACCCUGGUUCAUUUGAGGUUCUAACCUUGGCCCGUUAUCCGGGUCGGGGACAGUGCAUGGUAGGCAGUUUGACUGGGGCGGUCUCCUCCUAAAGUGUAACGGAGGAGUUCGAAGGUACGCUAGAUACGGUCGGACAUCGUGUUGAUAGUGCAAUGGCAUAAGCGUGCUUAACUGCGAGACUGACAAGUCGAGCAGGUACGAAAGUAGGACAUAGUGAUCCGGUGGUUCUGUAUGGAAGGGCCAUCGCUCAACGGAUAAAAGGUACUCUGGGGAUAACAGGCUGAUUCCUCCCAAGAGUUCAUAUCGACGGGGGAGUUUGGCACCUCGAUGUCGGCUCAUCACAUCCUGGGGCUGUAGCCGGUCCCAAGGGUAUGGCUGUUCGCCAUUUAAAGUGGUACGUGAGCUGGGUUUAAAACGUCGUGAGACAGUUUGGUCCCUAUCUGCCGUGGGCGUUGGAAAUUUGAAGGGGGCUGCUCCUAGUACGAGAGGACCGGAGUGGACGAACCUCUGGUGUACCGGUUGUCACGCCAGUGGCAUUGCCGGGUAGCUAAGUUCGGAAGAGAUAACCGCUGAAAGCAUCUAAGCGGGAAACUUGCCUUGAGAUGAGAUUUCCCAGAGCCUUGAGCUCUUUGAAGGGUCGUUCGAGACCAGGACGUUGAUAGGCUGGGUGUGGAAGUGCAGUAAUGCAUUAAGCUAACCAGUACUAAUUGCCCGUACGGCUUGUCCCUAUAACCUUAGCAGGU